UGUCAGCAACUAAGGGGGAAGGAGCUCUCAUAGUAGAAGCUACUUGGAGAUGCUUGGCUGGCUGUUCUGAUGCUGAGUCCAUUCUUCAAGGAACCAAUUAUAUGAUACUUGGAGGGUGCUAGAUCCAGGCUGUACAGAGGAUGGAGCAGCACAGUUCAGCCAGAUGAUGAGAUUGCCUCUCUGAUUCACAAGCUGAUGUGUGGGGUCACCAUUUGUCAGCAGUGUUAUAGCAAUGAAGUUUGGUGCCCAGGGCAAAGCCCGCAACAGCAGUCUGCCCUCACCCCACACACAGAUCCAGGGGGCACAUCCUCCCAUGCUUUCCCAGGAGUGGAUGGAGCAGGACCCGCCUUUCCUCCAUCCUUGUGCCCCUCCAAAAGGAGCCAGUUUCAGCUCCAUCCAGUGCCUUGCCCCAGCUGGGCAGUGCCUGUUGGCUGCCCUUUGCUUCAGUGCCCGGAGCAGUCUCCCUGCUCACCCCUACCUAAGGCACUGUAUAUCAGUCAUAAUGGAAGUCCACAAUAGAUUGUGCUUUCAUUAUAAAGUCAAUGUUUAUUUAUUAAA
Long non-coding RNA from Alligator mississippiensis (American alligator), 558 nucleotides. RefSeq lists it as uncharacterized. NCBI's taxonomy places the organism in Eukaryota, Metazoa, Chordata, Crocodylia, Alligatoridae. The transcript is spliced from 3 exons. The record is from RefSeq and is a predicted model, not a curated record.